This is a transfer RNA of Entamoeba histolytica HM-1:IMSS, 72 nucleotides long. It matches the Rfam family "tRNA". From Rfam's summary of the family: Transfer RNA (tRNA) molecules are approximately 80 nucleotides in length. NCBI's taxonomy places the organism in Eukaryota, Evosea, Mastigamoebida, Endamoebidae. The record is from Rfam.
GGGCUUGUGGCGCAAUGGAAACGCAUCAGACUACGAAUCUGGGGAUUGCAGGUUCGAUCCCUGCCAAGCUCG